CCUACGGGAGGCAGCAGUGAGGAAUAUUGGUCAAUGGGCUUACGCCUGAACCAGCCAAGUCGCGUGAGGGAAGACUGCCCUAUGGGUUGUAAACCUCUUUUGUCAGGGAGCAACGCCGGCUACGUGUAGCCGGACGGAGAGUACCUGAAGAAAAAGCAUCGGCUAACUCCGUCCCAGCAGCCGCGGUAAUACGGAGGAUGCGAGAGUUACCCGGAUUUAUUGGGUUUAAAGGGGGCGCAGGCGGAUGUUAAAGCCAGGGGUAAAAUUUAGAGGCUCAACCUCUGCGAGCCGUUGAAACUGGUUUUCUUGAGUGGGAGAGAAGGAUGCGGAAUGCGUGGUGUAGCGGUGAAAUGCAGAGAUAUCACGCAGAACUCCGAUUGCGAAGGCAGCAUACCGGCGCUCAACUGACGCUCAUGCACGAAAGUGUGGGUAUCGAACAGGAUUAGAUACCCCUGUAGUC
This 460-nucleotide ribosomal RNA is filed under the name uncultured bacterium. RNAcentral's name for it is "partial 16S ribosomal RNA". It matches the Rfam family "Bacterial small subunit ribosomal RNA", at positions 338 to 795 of the family's 1533-position model. The record is from RNAcentral.